CAGUCGCCACGGUAAAACGUAGGGUGCAAGCGUUAAUCGGAAUUACUGGGCGUAAAGCGUGCGCAGGCGGUUUGUUAAGACAGAUGUGAAAUCCCCGGGCUUAACCUGGGAACUGCAUUUGUGACUGGCAAGCUAGAGUCUGGCAGAGGGGGGUGGAAUUCCGCGUGUAGCAGUGAAAUGCGUAGAUAUGCGGAGGAACACCGAUGGCGAAGGCAGCCCCCUGGGCCAACACUGACGCUCAUGCACGAAAGCGUGGGGAGCAAACAGGAUUAGAUACCCCCGUAGUCCCUGUCUCUUAUAC
RNAcentral lists this ribosomal RNA (301 nucleotides) under uncultured bacterium. RNAcentral's name for it is "partial 16S ribosomal RNA". It matches the Rfam family "Bacterial small subunit ribosomal RNA", at positions 509 to 807 of the family's 1533-position model. The record is from RNAcentral.